Molecule: non-coding RNA, 1108 nt
Organism: Ictidomys tridecemlineatus (thirteen-lined ground squirrel)
Lineage: Eukaryota; Metazoa; Chordata; Mammalia; Rodentia; Sciuridae
Source: RefSeq, a predicted model, not a curated record
CUUAUAAGAGACCUGAGACAGCUACUUUGCCCCUUUUACCAUGUGAAAAAACCAAGUUGCCACCUAUGACACUGAAAGCAGGCCCUCAAGAGAAAUCAAAUCUAUUGAUGCUUUGAUCUUAGACUACCCAGUCUCUACAACUGUAUUACUGCCAAGAAAAAGAGGACAGUCUGCAGAUGAGAAGUCCCAGAUAAAAAUCACAGCCAAGUCACUUAGAACAUUGUGUGCACUUAGGUCUUUUGGUCUUGGCAGCAAAAAAACUGACUAAAUAAACACUGUGAAAAAUCAUACGUCAACAAGUUGGAAAAUGCAAAAGAAAUGGAUAAAUUUCUAGAGACGUACAGCCUACCAAGACUGAAUCAAGAAGAAAUAGAAAUAGAUGUAAAAAUCAAUAAUGAAUACAGAAAAACAAGCAGUAAUUAAAAAAAUUCUCAAGGGAAAAAAGCUCAGAACUGGAAGACUUCACACAUGAACUCUACCAAACAUUAAAGUAGAAUAAAUAUUAAAAACAAAAAAAGUAGAAUAAAUAACCAGUCCUUCUCAAAUUCUUUGAAAAAACUGAAGAGGAAAAACAUUUCCAAACUUAUUUUAAGAGGCUAGCAUUGCCUCCAUAUCAAAGUCAAAUAAGAGCAGAAGAAAAGAAAAUCAUAGCCCAAUAUAUCCUUGUAAACUCAGAUGAAAAUCCUCAACAAAAUACUAGCAAACCUAAUUCAUUAGAAUAUUAAAAGGAUCAUUCACCAUGAACAAGUGGGACUUAUCAAGGAUGAUUCAACAUACACAAUCAAUAAAUAGGAUAUACUACAUGGACAGAACGAAAGGGGGUAUGAUGCCUCAGGCCUCUGGGAAUUAGCCAUAGACUCAACCCUUCUUGGUAGAAGUCAGACCUUUGGAGGUUGCUGACCCCAAGACCUAGGAAAAGUAAUGAAUCAGCAGGAAAAGAUAACAUGGCUUUUCAUUUCCUGCUAUCUUGUCUCCCUGUUCCACCUGAAAAGUGCUUUUGUAGAUAUUCCAUUUACUACCUCCCAAGGCUAUGUGGAGGAUGAAUGCUGUGAAUGCUACAGUGUAAUCAUACAUAUAAACAACCACACAUGAACAGGCACAUGCAAAA